This is a non-coding RNA of Mycena galericulata, 84 nucleotides long. NCBI's taxonomy places the organism in Eukaryota, Fungi, Basidiomycota, Agaricomycetes, Agaricales, Mycenaceae. The record is from the annotation of a GenBank genome assembly.
GGUCCGAUGGUGUAGUUGGUUAUCACAUCUGCUUCACAAUUAUAGUUUCGCAGGCGGUCCUCGGUUCGAGCCCGGGUCGGAUCA